Molecule: ribosomal RNA, 894 nt
Filed under: uncultured bacterium
Lineage: Bacteria
Description: bacterial SSU rRNA
Rfam family: Bacterial small subunit ribosomal RNA
Source: RNAcentral
GAUCCUGGCUCAGGACGAACGCUGGCGGCGUGCUUAACACAUGCAAGUCGAACGGAGAACUUUCUUCGGAAUGUUCUUAGUGGCGAACGGGUGAGUAACGCGUAGGCAACCUGCCCUCUGGUUGGGGACAACAUUCCGAAAGGAAUGCUAAUACCGAAUGUGAUCCUUCUUUCGCAUGAAGGAGGGAUGAAAGAUGGCCUCUACUUGUAAGCUAUCGCCAGAAGAUGGGCCUGCGUCUGAUUAGCUGGUAGGUGGGGUAACGGCUCACCUAGGCGAUGAUCAGUAGCCGGUCUGAGAGGAUGAACGGCCACAUUGGGACUGAGACACGGCCCAAACUCCUACGGGAGGCAGCAGUGGGGAAUCUUCCGCAAUGGACGAAAGUCUGACGGAGCAACGCCGCGUGAGUGAUGAAGGUCUUCGGAUUGUAAAACUCUGUUGUCAGGGACGAAAGCACCGAUCUAUAAUACAUUUUGGUGUUGACGGUACCUGACGAGGAAGCCACGGCUAACUACGUGCCAGCAGCCGCGGUAAUACGUAGGUGGCAAGCGUUGUCCGGAAUUAUUGGGCGUAAAGAGCAUGUAGGCGGGCUUUUAAGUCCGACGUGAAAAUGCGGGGCUUAACCCCGUAUGGCGUUGGAUACUGGAAGUCUUGAGUGCAGGAGAGGAAAGGGGAAUUCCCAGUGUAGCGGUGAAAUGCGUAGAUAUUGGGAGGAACACCAGUGGCGAAGGCGCCUUUCUGGACUGUGUCUGACGCUGAGAUGCGAAAGCCAGGGUAGCAAACGGGAUUAGAUACCCCGGUAGUCCUGGCCGUAAACGAUGGGUACUAGGUGUAGGAGGUAUCGACCCCUUCUGUGCCGGAGUUAACGCAAUAAGUACCCCGCCUGAGGACUCCGAU